Molecule: transfer RNA, 66 nt
Filed under: bovine gut metagenome
Rfam family: tRNA
About the family: Transfer RNA (tRNA) molecules are approximately 80 nucleotides in length. Their secondary structure includes four short double-helical elements and three loops (D, anti-codon, and T loops).
Source: RNAcentral
GGUAUAGCUCAGCUGGUUAGAGCGCCAGGUUGUGGCCCUGGAGGCCGAGAGUUCGAAUCUCUCUAC